Molecule: long non-coding RNA, 1561 nt
Organism: Oncorhynchus gorbuscha (pink salmon)
Lineage: Eukaryota; Metazoa; Chordata; Actinopteri; Salmoniformes; Salmonidae
Exons: 3
Source: RefSeq, a predicted model, not a curated record
GGUCAAAUACACAGUCGCCACAGCACUGUUCCAACUUUUAGCAAUUAAUGUUGUCUUCCCCUCUCCCCUAUACUAAUCACUCAUCUAACAUGCUUGGAUAUUUAAGCAAGCGUUCCAACAGGAUUCACAGACAUGUAUGUUGGAGAACAAGGGCAGGUUAAUAUGUUGGAGAACAAGGGCAGGUUAAUAUGUUGGAUGACAAGGGCAGGUUAAUAUGUUGGAUGACAAGGGCAGGUUAAUAUGUUGGUGACAAGGGCAGGUUAAUAUGUUGGUGACAAGGGCAGGUUAAUAUGUUGGUGACAAGGGCAGGUUAAUAUGUUGAUAACAAGGGCAGGUUAAUAUGUGGAUAACAAGGGCAGGUUAAUAUGUGGAUAACAAGGGCAGGUUAAUAUGUUGGUGACGAGGGCAGGUUAAUAUGUUGGUGACAAGGGCAGGUUAAUAUGUUGGUGACAAGGGCAGGUUAAUAUGUUGGUGACAAGGGCAGGUUAAUAUGUUGGUGACAAGGGCAGGUUAAUAUGUUGGUGACAAGGGCAGGUUAAUAUGUUGGUGACAAGGGCAGGUUAAUAUGUUGGUGACAAGGGCAGGUUAAUAUGUUGGUGACAUGGGCAGGUUAAUAUGUUGGAUGACAAGGGCAGGUUAAUAUGUUGGAUGACAAGGGCAGGUUAAUAUGUUGAUGACAAGGGCAGGUUAAUAUGUUGGUGACAAGGGCAGGUUAAUAUGUGGAUGACAAGGGCAGGUUAAUAUGUGGAUGACAAGGGCAGGUUAAUAUGUGGAUGACAAGGGCAGGUUAAUAUGUGGAUGACAAGGGCAGGUUAAUAUGUGGAUGACAAGGGCAGGUUAAUAUGUGGAUAACAAGGGCAGGUUAAUAUGUGGAUAACAAGGGCAGGUUAAUAUGUGGAUAACAAGGGCAGGUUAAUAUGUGGAUAACAAGGGCAGGUUAAUAUGUGGAUAACAAGGGCAGGUUAAUAUGUGGAUAACAAGGGCAGGUUAAUAUGUGGAUAACAAGGGCAGGUUAAUAUGUGGAUAACAAGGGCAGGUUAAUAUGUGGAUAACAAGGGCAGGUUAAUAUGUUGAUAACAAGGGCAGGUUAAUAUGUUGAUGACAAGGGCAGGUUAAUAUGUUGGUGACAAGGGCAGGUUAAUAUGUUGGUGACAAGGGCAGGUUAAUAUGUGGAUAACAAGGGCAGGUUAAUAUGUGGAUAACAAGGGCAGGUUAAUAUGUGGAUAACAAGGGCAGGUUAAUAUGUUGAUAACAAGGGCAGGUUAAUAUGUGGAUAACAAGGGCAGGUUAAUAUGUGGAUAACAAGGGCAGGUUAAUAUGUGGAUAACAAGGGCAGGUUAAUAUGUGGAUAACAAGGGCAGGUUAAUAUGUGGAUAACAAGGGCAGGUUAAUAUGUGGAUAACAAGGGCAGGUUAAUAUGUUGAUAACAAGGGCAGGUUAAUAUGUUGGUGACAAGGGCAGGUUAAUAUGUUGAUGACAAGGGCAGGUUAAUAUGUUGAUAACAAGGGCAGGUUAAUAUGUUGAUAACAAGGGCAGGUUAAUAUGUUGAUAACAAGGGCAG